AAAGGAAUAGACGGGGGCCCGCACAAGCGGAGGAACAUGUGGUUUAAUUCGAUGAUACGCGAGGAACCUUACCCGGGCUUGAAUUGCAACUGAAUGAUGUGGAGACAUGUCAGCCGCAAGGCAGUUGUGAAGGUGCUGCAUGGUUGUCGUCAGCUCGUGCCGUGAGGUGUCGGCUUAAGUGCCAUAACGAGCGCAACCCUUAUCGAUAGUUACCAUCAGGUGAUGCUGGGGACUCUGUCGAGACUGCCGUCGUAAGAUGUGAGGAAGGUGGGGAUGACGUCAAAUCAGCACGGCCCUUACGUCCGGGGCUACACACGUGUUACAAUGGGGGGUACAGAAGGCAGCUACACGGCGACGUGAUGCUAAUCCCUAAAGCCUCUCUCAGUUCGGAUUGGAGUCUGCAACCCGACUCCAUGAAGCUGGAUUCGCUAGUAAUCGCGCAUCAGCCACGGCGCGGUGAAUACGUUCCCGGGCCUUGUACACACCGCCCGU
This 492-nucleotide ribosomal RNA is filed under the name uncultured bacterium. Its description in RNAcentral is "bacterial SSU rRNA". It matches the Rfam family "Bacterial small subunit ribosomal RNA", at positions 903 to 1397 of the family's 1533-position model. The record is from RNAcentral.